CGGACGGGUGAGUAAUGCCUAGGAAUCUGCCUGGUAGUGGGGGACAACGUUUCGAAAGGAACGCUAAUACCGCAUACGUCCUACGGGAGAAAGCAGGGGACCUUCGGGCCUUGCGCUAUCAGAUGAGCCUAGGUCGGAUUAGCUAGUUGGUGAGGUAAUAGCUCACCAAGGCGACGAUCCGUAACUGGUCUGAGAGGAUGAUCAGUCACACUGGAACUGAGACACGGUCCAGACUCCUACGGGAGGCAGCAGCC
Molecule: ribosomal RNA, 254 nt
Filed under: uncultured Pseudomonas sp.
Lineage: Bacteria; Pseudomonadati; Pseudomonadota; Gammaproteobacteria; Pseudomonadales; Pseudomonadaceae
Description: partial 16S ribosomal RNA
Rfam family: Bacterial small subunit ribosomal RNA
Source: RNAcentral